CUUCUUCCUGCAGUGUCACCAGCUCAUUGAGCAGUAUGAGCCUCUGCUGGUACAGCUGCUGCUCCAGACGCUCGACCCGGACUUUGUCUGCAUGAAGCUGGGAGCAUGUCCCGAGGUAGUGCAGAAGCUGCUGGGAUUGGAGCAGUGCAGCUGGGGGCCAGCAUACUGGUGUAAGAACGUGGAGACCGCAUCUCGCUGUAACGCCUUGGAUCACUGCAGGCGUCACGUGUGGAGCUAAAGGAUGAGCAGAGCGUUCCACAACAAUCUUUGGAAACUAAAGGAGAAUUGCUGUAGAGCUGCUUUCCUGUUUUGAAAUCAAUACUUGGGUUUUCUUUUAAAAAGUGACAUUUGAAAUUGAACUGUCACAGCUAAUUUAACAGCCUUGUUUCUGAGGCAAGAAAGCUUUUACUGAAAGGACAUGUAUUUUGAGGGGGCAGGGGUUUUGGAGAGAUAUGAAUGGCGUAUAUGGGAAAUGCACUGAAACUGGAUUUUUUUUUUGCUAUUUUGCAGACUUUUGUUUUUAAAAUGAAUGUUCUUUUAGUUGUUUCUUCAUAUGAUUAUAGCAUGAGUAUAUAUGGAAAUAGAUUGUGCCUUUAUCAGAAAAGGGGGUCUGAAACCCCUGAGAAUGAAAUGCUUUGGAUGCUCUAAAAUCCCUGCCUCCCUCUUUAACUGUGCAAAUGCACCUGCAAGGCCAGUGAUUUAAAUCUUAGUUUUUAAUGGGUGACACUUUUGGUCCUAAUGGAAGUCAAUUCUCUUUAUAACUGUCAUUUUGUGAUAGUUAAUAAACUGAAGGGGAAGUGUUGACAUUCUUCAUUUGAUCCCACUAACUGUUGCCCUUCACUGAUUGAUCUGUCACUGCUUCCUAAAUGUCAGAUUUUCUAAGCUUCCUAAAUGACUGAAGCUUUUGUUUUUUAAAAAU
Molecule: long non-coding RNA, 919 nt
Organism: Sinocyclocheilus rhinocerous
Lineage: Eukaryota; Metazoa; Chordata; Actinopteri; Cypriniformes; Cyprinidae
Exons: 3
Source: RefSeq, a predicted model, not a curated record